RNAcentral lists this small nuclear RNA (21 nucleotides) under Arabidopsis thaliana (thale cress). RNAcentral describes it as "snRNA_19167". Lineage: Eukaryota; Viridiplantae; Streptophyta; Magnoliopsida; Brassicales; Brassicaceae. The record is from RNAcentral.
UCGAUCCUUUAGACCUUCGGA